GGGGAUGUAGCUCAGUGGUAGAGUGCUUGCCUAGCAAGCAUGAGUCCCACAAUUCACUUCCCUA
Molecule: transfer RNA, 64 nt
Filed under: Ictidomys tridecemlineatus (thirteen-lined ground squirrel)
Lineage: Eukaryota; Metazoa; Chordata; Mammalia; Rodentia; Sciuridae
Description: Spermophilus tridecemlineatus (thirteen-lined ground squirrel) tRNA
Rfam family: tRNA
About the family: Transfer RNA (tRNA) molecules are approximately 80 nucleotides in length. Their secondary structure includes four short double-helical elements and three loops (D, anti-codon, and T loops).
Source: Rfam by way of RNAcentral